ACGUACACUCCUACGGGAGGCAGCAGUGGGGAAUAUUGGACAAUGGGCGCAAGCCUGAUCCAGCCAUGCCGCGUGAGUGAUGAAGGCCCUAGGGUUGUAAAGCUCUUUCACCGGUGAAGAUAAUGACGGUAACCGGAGAAGAAGCCCCGGCUAACUUCGUGCCAGCAGCCGCGGUAAUACGAAGGGGGCUAGCGUUGUUCGGAUUUACUGGGCGUAAAGCGCACGUAGGCGGACUAUUAAGUCAGGGGUGAAAUCCCGGGGCUCAACCCCGGAACUGCCUUUGAUACUGGUAGUCUUGAGUUCGAGAGAGGUGAGUGGAAUUCCGAGUGCAGAGGUGAAAUUCGUAGAUAUUCGGAGGAACACCAGUGGCGAAGGCGGCUCACUGGCUCGAUACUGACGCUGAGGUGCGAAAGCGUGGGGAGCAAACAGGAUUAGAUACCCCAGUAGUCCC
This 451-nucleotide ribosomal RNA is filed under the name uncultured organism. RNAcentral describes it as "partial 16S ribosomal RNA". It matches the Rfam family "Bacterial small subunit ribosomal RNA", at positions 329 to 797 of the family's 1533-position model. The record is from RNAcentral.